This is a long non-coding RNA of Penaeus indicus, 421 nucleotides long. RefSeq lists it as uncharacterized. The record is from RefSeq and is a predicted model, not a curated record. The transcript is spliced from 3 exons. NCBI's taxonomy places the organism in Eukaryota, Metazoa, Arthropoda, Malacostraca, Decapoda, Penaeidae.
CGACGACAGAGUCUUCUGCAUCCGCAUCUACAUCUCAACAAUGGUUUCUCGCGUCGUGUUGGUCGUGCUGGUGGUGGUCGUCCUAGCGGCCGCAGCACUGGCUCUCCCUGACCCCACCAAACGGCACUUGGGAUACGGCUUGUACGGAGGAUACGGAGGAUACGGCCUCGGAGGAUUUGGCUUGGGAGGCUACGGAGGAUACGGCUAUGGAUCCCACUAUCCUUAUUACGGAUCCUACUACGGAUAGAUAGCGAAGUACCAAGUAAACCUCGUCAACAAAGUCCAAAUUAACCGGGCUCCCCUCAUGGACAUAGCCCGGGCGAGGCUCUGCUUCGCGAAUCAGACAAAAAGAAGAAGAAGAAAAAAAAAACGAAGUCCAUAGGUUGUCAGUGAACACCAGUCCAGACUUGUAUUUAUCACU